GAGAGGUGUGUGUGUGGAGUUUGUUGCUCUUGCUUGGUGCACUUACAUAUUGUGAUCACAUUGCACGUUUAAGUAAAUAUAUAUAGUGGUGUUGUGUAUCCUGUGUUUGGUUCCUGUCCCUUCACUCAAAAUGGAAGAAGUUUCUCAUCCUUCACAAUCAGAUGUUGAGCAACCACACCCCCCUGUUAAUCACAAUAGACCAUUUUUCUACGUCCAACCACCUUCUCAACCUUAUUUCAUGUAUCAAUGGCCAAUGGAUCCAUUUGGACAGUAUGGCUUCCCAGGACCAGUAUUUCCUUUUGGGCGUCCCUACAUGCCUCCAUAUCAAUUUAUGCAGUAUCCUGGUUACGUAGUCCCACAUGCGCCCAUGCAGCCAACUGAUUACAGAAGGGUUGCCCCGCUCUUUCCUCCCGUCGCUUCCUACGACCUCCGUUUCCGUCAACAGUUCCAGCAGACGAGCAUGCACCGUGAGACCACGUCGUCUGAGGCCCAGACGGAGCCCAGAGAUCCGGUUAGCAAGCUGAUGGAUAGCCUUGAAAGUCUCCGAGCAUGUGAAAAAUCUGGAGCGGUUAAGGACUCCACUGUGAUGUUUUCCUCAACUCCUGCUGUAAACUUGUUUACUGGUGAGGUGGAGAAGAUGAAGGCUGGAGAUAAGAUAAAUGUGAAGCCUGCUUCUCAGUUUGAUAAGGCAGAGCAGGAUGACUUGUCAAAACUGGUGACUCCCUGUGACUCGGCUGUGUAUGAUGCAGAGUCAAGCCAGGGCCGUCUAGAGGAGUGUGUGCUGUCGGAUGUGCUGCCUCUUGACAGUUCCUCAAUUCGUGACGAAAAUCAGGACCAAGAUUACAAAAGGGGCGAUUCAAAGAUGCUGUGUUUUCAGAGUGAGAAAUGUGGUGGAAGCCAUUCAGCUGAGGUCGAAGACUCCGGCGCUCAUGUUUCUGACCUAUUUGAGGGCAAGUCCUCCAUUCAAAGUGAGCAGGUUGAGUAUUUGUCUCCUGAGUCUGUAGAGGUUACCGAGCCUCUCUUGCAGAUGACCGCAGACUGUGAUCUGCCAUAUCAAAUCCUCCGCCUUCCUUGCAAUAAAACCACCACUGGUUUGUUGCUUCAAAAAGAGGUCGACCCAUUGCUCUACAUGGAUCCGUCUGCUCUACUGCCUUCUAAAAGCUACACUUUUGGAAGCCCGUACACUCACAACUACUACCCUCAGGUGGUUCCUGAGCGUCAGAGUGUUCUCAGUCCUUCGUUAGAUGAACUGUCCUCCAGGGAUGAGAUGUUCUCCACUGAUGUCGAAGAUGAUCCAACAUCUGGGCAAGCCUAUGUAGAUGGUGGCAAGCUGGCAGAAACUGGAGUUGUUCCCACCCCCGCUGAAACGGCUCAGACAGAUAAAGCAUGCACUGUCUGGGCCAAGACUUGUGCCUGCUGUGGUGCAAGCCUUCCAGAUGAAGAUGUCAGCCCUGCAGAACUGUUGGAACAGGAUUGUGACUGUGAACUGGACGAAGAUCCUGAGGAGCCAAGUACCUGCAGUGCUCAGAAAGUAGUAUUAAUGCAGAACCCUUCUAGGCAAGGAUUAUCACCUUGUUCUCAAGUUUCUAAACACACAGCCAGGAAGGUGCUGGAGGUUGCAGAGCCAAGUGGGCAGGACCAAGGCCAUGGCAGAGGAGAGUGUGGUGAUCAGUCCUGUUCAGCUGCUAAAGGAGACAAGGGCCGAGGCAAAUGUCAAAAGGGUGCCCAGUUCAGAUCUUACUCUGAGCAUUGUCCAAGAGAAGGUCUAGAACUAGUGGACCAGGAGAAUUGGUCUGGCUGCAACGGCAAGCAGAGAUCACGUACCUGCAGGCCAGCCAAUGGUCUUCAAGAAAAAGGUGUUCCCACCCCCCCAAAUUUGUGGGAGACCUGCAAGACGAAGGCCUUCGUGCAAGACGUUUGCUCAGCAGAGGCCAAGGAGAAAUGAAUACGAUGACCACAAUGAGGCAGACUUUUCCUACUGUCAAAGGGGCAGAGGAUCUACGAAAAGAAGAGGCACAAGAUACUAAACUAUGAUGAGCACCGCUUUAAUACUUAAAUGUAUUACCUAAUAAUAAGAAUAAACACUAUUGCACUAUGGAAUGCACAAAAGCAUGCUAUAAUUAAUAAAAUAAGCACGGGUAACUGUUCAAAUAAGGGGUGUUGCUGAAAUAAACUGCGUUUUUGACGCUCAUGCCACUUCAUUUUGAGUGCUGUGCAUUCAUCUUAAUCUGGCCUGAGGAGCGUUUUUCUCUGGACCAGGCCUUGCCAUGCUUUAUGCAUUCAUGUGUGUGGCUGGAUCUGGGAGGUGUAGAUCUAGUCUGUUCGCUUUUAGCACUGCUUGUCAAGGUCUGAUUCACAGAACGCUUUCUCAGGUUUAUUUAUCUUUCUUUUUUUGAAGGAUGGGCAUCAGAAAUGCAGCUUGAAAAUAAAUAAAUUAAUAAUAAAAAAAAUAGAAAAAUUGUGAUAUCUUGGCAGUCUGGCUGAGCCUAGUUUAGACAUGUCGUUUUAUCAUGCAACUGUCGUUUUAUACCUGAAAUGCAGUGUACUGUUGACUUACAGUGGUCAUUAAAAUCUUUGCAUUGCA
Clarias gariepinus (North African catfish) is the source of this 2584-nucleotide RNA transcript. It is a transcript of the gene named bucky ball, with no coding region annotated. Lineage: Eukaryota; Metazoa; Chordata; Actinopteri; Siluriformes; Clariidae. The transcript has 7 exons. The record is from RefSeq and is a predicted model, not a curated record.